Molecule: long non-coding RNA, 803 nt
Filed under: Populus trichocarpa (black cottonwood)
Lineage: Eukaryota; Viridiplantae; Streptophyta; Magnoliopsida; Malpighiales; Salicaceae
Description: long non-coding RNA (PTRI_LNC003212)
Source: RNAcentral
GAGGGAGGGAUAUUGAGUAGUAUAAAUAUGAGAAGCCUUCACAACAAAAAAUUGCAUUCUCCAAAAGCUACAGGUAUACUGGUAAUUAUACAGUACGUAUAGAGUUGUCAUUAAUUCUAAAAUUAAUGGCAAUCAAGAAUCGUAAUGUUACUGUAGAUGGCGAACGUGCAAUGACCAUGGGGCAGUUCAGGGCUUGGAUGAAAACAAUCGAUGGUGAUAAAGAUGGCAAGAUAAGCAAGGAUGAACUCUCCGACGCCGUCCGUGGCAACGGAGGAUGGUUUGCUGGUUGGAAGGCCAAGAGGGGGGUAGGGUCAGCUGACUCCAAUGGCAAUGGCUUCGUCGAUGAGACUGAAAUCGGUAACCUAGUGGAGUUUGCUCAAAAGCACCUGGGUAUCAAAAUCAUUUAACCAUUUAAAAUUGCAUAUGCCUUUGUAUUAUUAUUAUUAUCGUGCCUGGCUGGUGUGUAAUAAGAAGAAAAAAUGAAUAUUAUUAUUAUCGUGCCUGCCUGCUGGUGUGUAAUAAGAAGAAAAAAUGAAGAAUUUAUAUCAUUACAAUCUGUUUUCAAACAAGUGAUAUCUUUGUGUAGUGCGCAAUGGACACUUCCUAGUCCAAGACUUGUUGUAUGUGUAAUUUGUGUAUCAAAAUAUUAAGUUUAAGAAAAAAUAUAAAUGUGUUGAACGAGUUUUACCGUAUAAUUUAUUAUUUAAUUGUUGGAUCAGUCUGAAAUUUAAUCUGUAUAUUCUGAAUGUCUAGUUUUAUAAAAUAUCAACUAACUAUUAGUAGCUCAAAUUAGAUUUAAAAGU